CCCAGUUAUGCUGUAGUCACUGGGGCACUAGCCUUAGCAUCACACACACAAGUACACAGAGCUCAGUGAGGAGACGCUGUCCAGAAGUGAUGGAAUGGCAUUCUCACGAGGGAAAUUUUGACUCUGGGGAAGAGCCAGGAGUCCCAUGGUGCCAGAUUUGAUGAGUAAGCGAUGACACUGCAAGUGUGUGUGUGAAGCACUUUUUGUAAGGCUCUCCAGUGGCUACAGAAAUCUCUUCUUCAGAGCACGUGCAAGUGUGACUGAAGAAUGCACAGCAAAAGCGGCAGCCUUUUCUUCUGUUCAAAUCAUCUGGCGUGAGGCAUGGUGGGAGCACCUCGGGAUUUUCU
Long non-coding RNA from Cavia porcellus (domestic guinea pig), 347 nucleotides. RefSeq lists it as uncharacterized. NCBI's taxonomy places the organism in Eukaryota, Metazoa, Chordata, Mammalia, Rodentia, Caviidae. The transcript is spliced from 3 exons. The record is from RefSeq and is a predicted model, not a curated record.